Molecule: ribosomal RNA, 305 nt
Filed under: uncultured bacterium
Lineage: Bacteria
Description: bacterial SSU rRNA
Rfam family: Bacterial small subunit ribosomal RNA
Source: RNAcentral
UGCUGCCUACGGGGCGCAGCAGUGGGGAAUAUUGCACAAUGGGGGAAACCCUGAUGCAGCGACGCCGCGUGAGCGAUGAAGUAUUUCGGUAUGUAAAGUUCUAUCAGCAGGGAAGAAAAUGACGGUACCUGACUAAGAAGCCCCGGCUAACUACGUGCCAGCAGCCGCGGUAAUACGUAGGGGGCAAGCGUUAUCCGGAUUUACUGGGUGUAAAGGGAGCGUAGACGGCUGUGCAAGCCAGAUGUGAAAGCCCGGGGCUCAACCCCGGGACUGCAUUUGGAACUGCGUGGCUAGCGGGUCGGAGG